UAUAUAGCUAUGUGCGCUAACUAGUAUUCCCGUCGUAUCAUGCUCAACUCUUAAUACUCUAUUUCGCACUUUGAAAAUCUUUGCGUGUUUUCAGAGAGAUAUUUAAGCACAUAUGAAGUAACAGUGGCGUCUCUACCAUUGAGUUACACAAUGCAGCUUUUAGCUCGCUCGUAAACAUCACUGCUGUCCUCAGAUCAUUGUCUGAGCAGAAGUUUCAUCAUUAACCCUGACUGUCAGAUGCUCUUCAUCUCAGGAGCUGUAUUUUUAGAUGCUUUAUAACAGAUAGGCUAUAAGCGAGAAGAGGCUGAAUCCAAAGCCCGAGAAGAAGCAGAGAAACAGAGGAUCGAACCAGAGAAACACUUCCAGAAGGAGGAGCUGGAACGCUUGGAAAGAAAGAAGAAAUCGUGAAGAGGACUCGUAAGAGUGACGCAGGAGCACAGAAAGAUGUUAAAACUCCAACUCAAAUGAAUGGCAGAGUCACUGACAGCGUAAUCCAGAAAAAUCAGUCAGAAGCUCUUCAUAGUAGUGCGACAAACCAAUCACCAAUGA
This 549-nucleotide long non-coding RNA is filed under the name Danio rerio (zebrafish). RNAcentral describes it as "si:ch211-198e13.3 (ENSDARG00000094622.3)". The record is from RNAcentral. Lineage: Eukaryota; Metazoa; Chordata; Actinopteri; Cypriniformes; Danionidae.